UACGAAGGGUGCAAGCGUUAUUCGGAAUUACUGGGCGUAAAGCGUGCGCAGGCGGUUUUGUAAGACAGGCGUGAAAUCCCCGGGCUCAACCUGGGAACUGCCUUUGUGACUGCAAGGCUAGAGUACGGCAGAGGGGGAUGGAAUUCCGCGUGUAGCAGUGAAAUGCGUAGAUAUGCGGAGGAACACCAAUGGCGAAGGCAAUCCCCUGGGCCUGUACUGACGCUCAUGCACGAAAGCGUGGGGAGCAAACAGGAUUAGAAACCCCUGUAGU
RNAcentral lists this ribosomal RNA (271 nucleotides) under uncultured bacterium. RNAcentral describes it as "partial 16S ribosomal RNA". It matches the Rfam family "Bacterial small subunit ribosomal RNA", at positions 524 to 794 of the family's 1533-position model. The record is from RNAcentral.